AUAAACUUUAGGUAACUCAGAAAGUGGAUUUAGUUCUGAGAAACAUAAUUUGAGUGCAGAUGCUACUUGAUUUAAUAUUUUGUAUCUUUUGCAAUCAAAUUCAGACAUUUUUGGCAUGACUUGACAGAGAUUUUGUUUUCCUUCCUCAGUUUCUCUGGAUGUUCCUCAGACGUCAGAUCUGGUGAAGAUGAACCAGCGUCUGGUGGAGGCCAGCGGCCAGUUCAAGAAGAAACAGGGCAAAGGGACGACUGACGUCUGGUGGCUGUUUGAUGACGGAGGUGACGUCACAGCCGUGUGUUCUUCCCUUCUGUCAGCUCUGAAGUGUGAUGUUGAUGUUUCUUCAUGUUGUUCUGCAGGUCUCACACUUCUCCUGCCUCAUAUUUUGACCACAUGGAAGAAAUAGAAGGACUGCAAACUCAGGAUCUUCAUCCCCGGGCAUCCUGAACGCAUCCAACAGGACAAGGAGGAGAUGCAGGAACUUCUGAAGAAGUUCACGAUCAAAUGUGCCGACAUCAAAGUUAUCGCAGACAUCACCGUCAGACCCAGCGCAGAGAGCUAGAAACUGUUCGAGGACAUGAUCGAGCCGUUCCGGAUGCACGAGGGUUCAAAGGAGACGUCGCAGGCUGAAGCUCUGAGGAAAGAUCAUCUCUGGAAGAUCACAGAUGCUGAGCUGGACGCCUUCGAGGAGAAGGUAGAAUCCCAGAGGACACUGCGGCAGUCCUGAGA
Cyprinus carpio carpio is the source of this 726-nucleotide long non-coding RNA. Lineage: Eukaryota; Metazoa; Chordata; Actinopteri; Cypriniformes; Cyprinidae. The record is from Ensembl.